This 13728-nucleotide long non-coding RNA is filed under the name Musa acuminata (dwarf banana). Its description in RNAcentral is "long non-coding RNA (MACU_LNC001905)". The record is from RNAcentral. Lineage: Eukaryota; Viridiplantae; Streptophyta; Magnoliopsida; Zingiberales; Musaceae.
CCAAGUCCAAUAGGUCUGCUGCAUCAAGUCAAACUAGUAUCAUAGUAUAUCUACAAUUACGAAUGUAUAACAUAGACCAAUUUUAUAGGGUAACCACUAAAACUUUAGCAUGAAGUAUAUUGGGUUACACAGUUAAAGUUUAAUUCCCUUUAGAUCACUAUACCAGUGGGCCUAUGAGAUUGGGUGGUGACAGGAAGACAUACUGAGGUAAAUGAAUUCAUUUGCCGUCUUAUUUUUCUGCACACUGUCGCUUCUACACUGAGAUAUAUGAAUAAAUUGUUUAUAAAGAAUUUAGAGUGGGGUAAAAAGAGUGUAGAAAACAUACUCGGGAUCAAUAUAUCCAGGGGUGCCAACCACUGUCCCUGUGGACACAUGGGUUUGCUCAUCGCUAUGGAAAGAUUUGGAUAACCCAAAGUCCCCUAUUCUAGCCUCUAGUUCUUCGCUCAAGAGAAUGUUGCUGCUCUUGACAUCUCUAUGGAUUAUUGGAGGCUUGCAUCCUUUGUGCAAAUAAUCCAGCCCUGUCGUAUAAAAUAGAGAUUAAGUAAUUAUACCAAACGCAAGUACACAGACAAAAGAUUCUCCAAAACCUUGUGCAGCAUCCAGUGCAAUUUGAAGCCGCUGUCCCCAACUCAAGACUUUGGCACAACCAGCCUUAUCUGUGAUGAUUAUAAGUUAGAAAACCCAUGGAGACAAAUUAACAAAAUAUCAAUAGGAAAUAUUUGUGGAGAAGUUACUUCUUAAACUCAUAGUUACUUGCUGCAUAAUUUCUUAGAUACCUCCCUCAACUAAUGGGUUUCAAGCAACGAGCCAAGAGAUAUAUUAAUCUUCAAUGCUCUGAUAUACCCUAUGUCCCUAUCAGCCCCUUUAAAAAAUGAUUCCAAGCAUUUUACCCCUUCCUAAUCAGGAAAAGUUGAACAUUUGGCUUAAAAUUGAACUUUGUAAUGAUCCUCCAAGUCCCUAAACUUCUUUCUCAAUCAUUGUGCAUAUGAAAAUAAUUUACAUUAAUCAUUUAACAGGAAAGCAUGAAGCCUCUGGAGAAUUAAAUCAUGUCCUUUACAAUUCAAAAUUGAUCUUAAAGAAUAGUUGUAACAGUGCUCAUGUUCAGUAUCACUAAACCUCGUAGAUGGUCUUGGAGGCUUCCUUGCUUCAUGUAUUCGUAAACAAGCGCUAGGCAAUUCCCAUCCAUGCAAUAACCAACCAGAGAAACCAGAUUCCUGUGGUAGAUCUUCGUCAGGUUCUGGGCCUGCAGAAUGAAGUGCAAAAUGUUGUCAAGAAAUAUUCUAAAAAAUAAAUUGUUAUAUAGAAUAGCUACAAGCUAUGUAAGGUAGCAUUCUGACGUCAAUACCAAGAAAUAUGUAAGCUGAAUUAACCUUCAGCUGUUUAAGAAGAGUGUUUUGGCAUCUCAUCUUGGUUAGCAUCAAUACCAACCUUUUCAAUUCAGGAGUGUUAAGACUUCAUAAUUAUAUUGGCCUUUAAACUAACCACUUAAACUUUUGAGAUUUGUAGUAACUUAAUCGAAAUUUUAGUCAUGGUGUAAGAGCAUGUUAUGAGUUUGAAGCCUGUACUUGCCCCCUCUUUGUUUCAUCUCAUUCUUUAACUAAUAUUUGUGAAAUUUUUACUCUGUAUUUGACUUGGAUCAUACAUUUGGGUUCAAUUUUACAUGUCAAGUUUAAAUCGGGGAGAGGUGAAUAUUAGACUUCAUGAAUAUAUUUGACUCAUUACUACCAACUUAAGUAUUUCGGGAUUUGUGAUAAUCCAAUAAAAAAUUUUUAUCGAGUAACAAUCACACUCAAGUCAUCUAAUAAUCUUAUUUCAAAGGUCAAAUAAAAUUUCUAUACCUCAGCCAAAAAUUCCUUCAUUCCUUGUGGUGAUGAUACAGAAUGCAUCUUGAUCGCAACUUGCUUUCCAGUUUCCAAGCAACCAUGAUAAACCAUGCCAAAACCUCCUUUCCCGAUGACCGUUGUAAACUUAUUUGUUAUGUUCUCCAACUGUGUGUAUGUAAACUGCCUACUCUCAAAUGAAAUUUGAUGCUCUCUCUGCCGAGGGUAGACUACACUAUGUGACUGAACAAAGGUAUUAGAGGUCCGACCUAUCAGAAAAGAACAAGAAGUUGACUAUUAGCACUCAAUGCAGAUUUUGAAAAUGAUGGUGUGGUACACCAAGCUCAUUUUUCCUCUUCAAAGUAUUACCUUGCUGCUUUCUGAUGUUACAUACCACAGCUACCAAUAUUAUCACAAGAAGUAGCAGCCCAGACACUGCUGCGAUAAUUACAAUGAUAGCUGUUUUAGACCUUGAUGAAGACGCUUUGUUACAGCCAUUUUUGUCAAGCCUGACAUCAUGAAUGUUUAAAAAGUAUCGUCAGUUGAUGUAAGCUCCAUAUAGGCAGUAGGGUAAAGUCUAGUAGCAAUCAACACUUAUUCAGUUAUUGCAUGACAUUAGUGAUUAGAGCUAGAAGAUGGCAAGUGCACAACAUUAAUCCCGAUAACCUUUACUCUAAAUUUCACUUUUAGAAAGAGGUUCAAGACGAUCUCAGUGGACAGCAAAAUCAUAUAGUGUGUUUAACAACAAUCACAAUAACAACAAAACAUCAAGUCUCAACAAUUUGGAGUCGGCUACAUGAAUCUUUUGCCGUCAUUGAGAUCUGUCAUAUAGUGAGUUAAAUAUAUGAAAAUAAUCUAUGCCACCCCAAUCAUUCUAACAAGCUAUAUUUCCUACCUAAGAAUGAUUGGGAAAUAUAACUAGCCUGUUUGCCAACUAAAAUUCCUUCACCUAACAUGCAAUUCAACUAGCCUUUUUGCCAACACUUUUUCACCAACCAACAAACAGAGAAAGAACACAAGCCUCUUUCAAACUGCUACACUAUCUGAAGAUCCAAAAAUUAUAAAAAUCUUUUUUUGUCAAAAAAAUCUAAAAAUCAAUCAGCUUUAACCAGCUGUGUGUUUCAUGCCAAUUUUCGCACAUAAAAAAAUUGCCAAAUCUUGUGCAUGAGUAUUUCAGUUGGUAUUGUUUAAUUUUAAAAAAUAGUUAAGCAUAUAAAUAACCCAUGGUAACAUUACCCCCCAAGUAACUCAGUGUUUCAAUUACAAGCCUAUGGUUUAAAGAAUUUGGUAAAUGGAUUAUGAUUUUGUCCAGUUGCAUAUUCUAUUGACCAUUUGUGCUUCAUUGCUCUAUUGUUUCUUUAUUUCUUUGUAAACUAUUAUAUGCUUACCUUGUCCGUUGGGAAUUCACUUUAGUCAAUAAUAACAAAUGAAAAGGAUGUCUGGGGUGGUAAGUCAACAUAUGAACAUGAUGACCCGUUAUUCAUUAGCUUAAGCUUUUGCAUUGUGGCAUCCUCGUGUGUGUAUGCGCAUGAGCCUUCUUAUUGGUAGGAGACUUUGGGUCCAAUUCUCCCCCUGACAAGUGGCAUUAAAGCUCAUAUAUUGGUUUGUAUAGAUCAGUGCCAGACUCAAGAGACAUAAGAAUGUGAAAUGGCUAGUGUCUAGUUCAUGAGCCAAGUAAGAAGUUGUGUGCUCAGAUGUGAUUAAUUUGCUUGGUGAGAUAGGUUUGAUUUCUAAGGUGUGAUUAAUUUGGAAGCCCAUAAUCCAUAACUUGUGGACAUCAUAUGGCUGACCCAUACAGGAAACUAUGAACAAUGUCUCACACAUAGUAAAUUGAUGAGAUUGUUGGGUGUUCAGUUUGGCUUCAAGCGUUUGUUGGGUAUUCAUUUGUGAUUAGAAAGAUUUACAUGUGAAAGAUAUGAGAUUAAGUAAAUUCAUUGUAGUAUCCAAUUGUGAGUAUGGAAAAGAUAUCUCAUGGAAUAUAUAUGAGAAUUGCGUAAAAAGGGGGUGGCCUAGUGCAUAAAGCUCUAGAAAUGCUAGAUUUGGGAGGAUCAAUGUAUAUACUAUAUAGUCUUGCCCAUAUAAGCAAAAAGACUACUGUUGAUGUGUGUGUAGUGUGUAUGUGAACCUUGCUGAUGUUCGCAUGGAACCUUCUAUUGGCAAGGGAAUUUGUGUAAGAUUCUUUCCAAGACUCUCAUCAUGUUCAAAUCAACACUCAUGUAUUCACAUCUAUAUUUUGUGCUUUACACAAGGCAAGCCUUGUUCCUUUCAGGAAGAAAUUUGCAUAAUGGCUUUCCACCAGGUACACAGUUUCCAUAUAUCUCUGGAAGUGACUAAUUAGUACAAGGAAGCAACUUAGGUAAGAUGAGACCAACGCAGAAAUGGAGGAGAGUGGAAGUAAGAUUCAGGUACUUUAGUAGUUCCAUGACAUAGAAUGUCUGAUAUGAAUAAUCAAAGUGGUAUAUGAUGCUACUGCUUUAUAAGAAGAAUGGACAACCUAUGUGAUCACAUACAAAAGUACUUCUUGACAUGAUCUAGAAUUCCAGUGAGUUCUGGGAGUGCCAUAUUAUGUUAACACAAGUACCUUUUCACCAAGAUAUAUUUGGAAUAGUUUCCGUGGACAAAAGGAAUGUAGUCUGGUAGGAUGAAAAUACAAUAUUUACUGAUACAACCCCUAAAACAUACAUGAGCUUGAUAAAAAAACAAACCUGAGUAUAAGUAACCCAGCAUCUGACCUUUUGCAGAGUUUCUCAGGAACAGAUCCAUUGAAAUUGUUUCCUGCCAAAUUUCUUAAACAAUACAUUGCUCUUCAAUAUUCCUAUUUUUCAUCUAUGUUCUGUAUAAAAAGUUGAAUAACUUACAGAAUUUGGAGUGAUACAAGAUUUUCAAGAGAAUCGGGUACUGUUCCUGUUAAAUUGUUAAAAGACAAAUCUCUGCAAUAUAACAUAAAAAAGAAUCAAUAUUAAGCAGCAAAAGUCCUUGAGAAUAAAAAAUUAAUCCAGUGAAUUUGUUUUUUUGUCAAGUGUUUGCUUGAAACAGCAUAAACUUUUGACAUUAAUCUUAUAUAUCAAAAGCCUGCAUAAACUCUGAUGCAAAACACUUACAGGACAAGGAGAGAUGAUAAACUGCCUAGAAAAUCAGGUAUUGUUCCAUUAAAGCUGUUGUGAGACAAGUCCCUGGAAUUGAAAUUAUAUAUUGAUCAUUUAGUGCAUGAACAGCUCGACAUAACAACUGUGCUCUCUGUAUUACAUGAAGUCAACAGUCUACCUUCCAACAUUUAAAUCAUAAUUAAAGCAAACUGAUGAACAGCAAGUUUUGCUGGAUAAAAAUAUAACACCAUUCAGACCCGGUGAUUCAUAUGAAGACAUGAUUUUCUGUUCAUCUAGCAUGGAAGACCAUGCCUCUUUUUAGCUGUAAUAUUCUGAGCAAUACCAGAAGAAGGCGCUCGUACAGCUCCCAUUUGGUUAUCCAUAGUGUGGUCAAGAUAUAUGAUUAAUUUGUCUUCAGGCAUAAUCUUUGAAAGUUUACUAUUUUAAUAUAUAUAAUGGAUGGAAUUGCAAUCAAUACAACAACAACAAAACCGUAAGUCCGAACAUGGAAUUGCAGUCAAUACAAGUAAAAAAUGCUUGUAGUGCUCUGACAUGCAGCAUACUUGUACCCAUAAAGUGAUUGGUGUUGUCAAAGUGUAUUUAGUAUUUACAUCCUUGACAGUAGCUUAAACCAUUCAUAAAGCGAUAUGUUCAUUAGCACAUGAAACUUGUUUUGCAUGUAAGAGCUUCUUAACAUGUGAACUGCAGUAAUUUAGCCUCUAGGUUUAAGUCUUAAAUGUACAGAUCAUAUUGAGAACUCCAAGAAGCAUUCCAACCUUCUAUGUUGAAUAAUGCCUUUUGUAAAGGGAAUAGAGGCAAAAGGUAAGAUAAGCUAGUGACCCACAAAAAAUGCCUGCAACCAUUGAAUGACAAGUAAGCACUCUUUGGUGCAGAGUUAUUAACUAGCUGAUUUAUGUUGCAAUGUAAGCAUAAGCUGUGUGUUGUUUUCUUUGCUUGCAUAACUACAGCACUAAAACCAUUUCAAGAACACCUGUUAUAAUGUGGUUCUGCACUAUGUUGUGGUCAUGCCUGUAAAGCCCCUUAUUUCAGCAACUACUUAGAGGAUCACUUCCGUUUAGCUCAUGCAUUGUCUGAGAGAUUAAGAACUGGACGAAAAUAGAUAUCAUACCUAUGUAUGUCUUGAUGAUCAUUAUACUUUGUUGACCAAGUUACGACUGGAACAUCAGUAGAAAAAUGUUGUCAUCUAAGGUUAGAGAGCCUAUGUUGAUUUUUAUUACCUUACACUAAGAUUUUUGCUAGCCUUCCCUUAGAAUCGAACAGCAGACACUAAACUGGUAUGGACCAGGAGAAUUAGUUACUAAGUAAAUAAGCGACUGUAUAUACCUUACUUCCUGCACUGGUGCAAGAUUUAAAUUUUAUAAAGGUAGCAUUGAUAUUGAUCAGAGACAGUAACCCAUGGCACUUACUGGUAUUGGCUCAGAUAAUUAUUUGUUACUGGUUGGUCAUGGUGAUGCUUUACAUUUUGGAUCAAAUUAAAAAAUUUGCUUAUGCAUUAUGCUAAUUGUCUUGUUCAACAUUGCUGACAGAAAUAUGAUAUUAGGAGAAGCAAUCUGGGUAAUUGACUGAAAUAUUUCAAUAAAUUAUAACCCAAAUUACUUGCUCUAGAAAUGAGAACAAAAGAAAGUUGCACUUACAGGUACUUGACAGCUUCAAGCAUGGCAAAAGAGAUGUAUAUUUCACCAGUCAAUCCUCUGGAAGUCAAAUUUCUGCAAAAUAUUGCAGUUUACAAAACAUAUUUUGAGUACAAGUUUUAAUAAUAAACUCAAUGAUUCCAUCAAAUGAUUUUUUUCUCCCUCUUCUAAGUUUCUUGAACACUUACAUAUUUGUGAUCCUUGGUGGAUCAGUAUUGUAGCUACAAUUCAAGCCAUCCCAUACGUAUUCUUUCGGAGCACAUGGAUCACCCAUCCAAUUUCUCUUAAGUUGAUAGUGUGAUUUGAUUGCCAUCAUGGCGUCAACUGGUAUCCAGGAAAAUACAAGAAUUAACACACAUUAGUGUAUACUAGGAAUAUGAUUUGUUUAAUAGAAAAUAGUCACUAACUAAAAAAACCAUUUUAAUUUGGUAUCAGGCGUUCGCAGCCAGUAAUGAGAUAGAAAAAUAGAAGAACAAUAUAUUUUUGAGUUGUAGAAAUUAAGAUGUUACUUGUGAUUGCAGUCACAUAUUUGACCAAGCAUCAAUGUAGAAUAAUAAUCUAUAUAUUGGUACCACUUGUGGCUGUGCUGCAUAAUAUUCUCUAAUUAUUUUCAUAGGGAAGUGCUGCAAGUAAUUUGUGUCCAAUAGCUUCCAAAUUUCUUAGAUAUUUCAAAUUGUUAGGCAUGGCAAGAUUUAGUAAUGAAUAUUCCAGUAUUCCUUUUGCUUUUGGACUGGCUACAUGCCCAAGUUCAGUUUGUGGAACUUGAAUUAAACAGGGAGAUAUAUUAACCAAACGACUCUCUGUUCUGAAUUAUUAUACCACGUUCAAAUUAAUUAUCAGCAACUCAUCUUAAAAAUUAUUUAUCAGAAAUGACAGGAUUUAGUAUUUUUAUUCUAAAAGCUGUAACUAGUCAUAUCAUUUCCAAAUACAGACAAGAAAAAGAACCAAACAAAUAUUGUAAAGUCAUGAUUGUGUGGAAUGAGAAAUCAGAAAUAGCUAAACUAUCCAUAUUAAGACACAUCGAAUUACAGUAAAACUGGCCACAAAAAUCUAUCUUUUGGUUCUCAGCAUGCUCUGAUCUGGAUAGCUAUGCUGUUGGAAUGAGAAUUUACUACUGCAAGUAAAGAUAUUCUUAUUUAAAUUCAAAAUAGUAUCAAUUUCAUAUUUCAACACUUGAAUGGUGUUUGUGGUCAAACUACAACUCGUUUGGUUACUCCAUCCUUAGUAGGAACCAGUUUUGCAAAAUUUAAGGAAAAAAAAAGGAUCGUUCGAUCCCUGGAAUCUUAGAUUCACUGUCCAAAAUUUGGAUAAGUACAUACAGUCAACGAGAGCUAUUAGCAUACUCACAGUUAUUUCCAUUUCAAAAAAGAAAAUCCAGACUAGGUAUGUAGAAAAUUAUACUGUAUGCUUAGCAGAUUGAAUCUUAUGAUCCACCAAUGGACCAGCAUGCUUUGAAGUCUUAUUCCAGUCUGAAAUUUGCAACACAAACAAAUAUGAUAUCGAGUACAGAGCCUGACUCACUAAAUGGUGCAAAAUAAUUGCAAAAGAAGUGAUGUGAACACAAUUAGUACCCAUCCGACUUAGCUCAAUUACAACUAGAAAGUAUUGGAUCUGCUUUCACUCAAAGUUUGCUCAACUGGUUCCAAUUAGUAUUCAUCCAUGGGCUCGGCGAACACAAUCAGAUCAGAUCAAAAUUAGCCUAACCUAAACUCGGGCUGCCUUAAAAGAACCCAUUCUCCCAUCUUUUCUUUCUGUUUUAUCAUUAAAUUUACAACUCUUAAAAUCUUGGAUUUAUUUGUCUUGUUUAAAGGAAAAUGUGUUUUGUUGUAGUCGUUGCGACACAAACUAUUGCCAUCUUGGCACUUAUUUGAACCCUCCAUCUAUCAGUCCGUGCAAGGUAGAGGUUGUUCGCUUCUAAAACAUUAAAAACUGCCGCAGAGAAGACUGGUAAUUCACAAUCGGCACGCCACAAAACGAAAACACGGACAUCAAUUUUCCUAAUUUGACAUCUUAGCAAUGAUAAAUAUUAAUUUGGCUGCAUUCUUGAUGACAAGAAACAAAGAUAAAGCUUCGAUUACUUCAAGGCGAAGGAGAAGGCUGCAGCGCCUUACCGUCUGCGGAGUCGGUGGCGGUCUGUGUGAGCUGCAUCAACGUGUAGACCUCGAAGGCGUUGAUGAUGGGCGGGAGGGUGGAGUCGCUCGUCGCGUUGAGCACGUAUUGAUACUCAAAAUUGGCUUCGAAUGGCUCAGAGUCGUAUUGGCAAUCAGCCGAGAGGUAAAGCGGGGUAUACCCACUAACCCAGGACUCGUCAUUCCAGAUGAUGUCGAACACCCUCGUUGCGUUUCCCGUCAGAUUCUGGGGUUCGGCGAAGUGCAGAAUGGUGUAAAGCUUGUCGUCGGGGGAGACGGAGUCCCAGGCGAAGGCUAGCUGCGAGCCACUGGCCGGAGUCACCGCCGUCUGCAUCACAGCGGACGGCGGCUCGAACGGAUCGAACCUGUUGUCCACGGUCGAGUUGGUGGACAAGGUGAGCCAGGAGGGAUCGUUGUAGGGGUUCCAAACGCGAUCGUAAGGGUCGAUCGGGAACCUGUUCAUGAUAUCUCUCAGCAUAGCAGACAUGAAAAAUAUGAAAUGAAAUAAAUUGUAGUUUUGGGUCGGGGGCCCAACUAAGUUGUUUUGGGUCAAUUGGUCCAUGGCCCUUUUCACAUAACGGACAUGAGACAUCAAUAUCUUUGUUGGGGUUACUCCAGCUUACAGGAUUUUUAUCCCAUCAUGUGCAGACACGGUUUUCAAGGGGAGCAUAUAUAGGAAAACAUACUUUCAAUUAUUAAAUGGAUUGAUAGAAGGGCGAUUUCUUAGAAAAUAUUCUCAUUUUAUUAUUUUUAAUAUUAUUUAUUUUUCUUUUUGGUUUUUUUUUUUCUAAAUAGUAUUUUUAAUUCAAAAAACACUUUUUUCCUCUAAAAAAAAGUUGAAUGUAUUUUCUUUUUCAGUCAUUAGAGUGUUUUGAUCAUCGUAAUAAAAAUACUAUUAAAGUAUAUUUAAAAAUACUAUAAAUGAAUCAAAUGGAAUCGAAACAUACUAAAAAUCAUUUGAUACCAAGAUUUGGAUAGACAUUUAUAAUAAUUCAAUAAUAAUAUCACCUAAAUAGUAAUUAGAAAUUAAUUUAUUGUAAUAUUUUAGCCGCCAUAGUAAAGAAAAUAUAUUAAGAAAACUUGCUACAAUGUUCUGGCCAUCAUAAUAAAAAUACUACAAGAUAUUUUUUUUUUGUAAAAAAAAUAUAUCAAAUGAGGCUUCCAACAAUCAACCUUUGGUGACUUUGGUUUCGUAUACCACCAUCAAAUCAAACCAAUGUUUAAGAUAAAAAAUACUAUAAAACUUACAUGAAAAUAUUAUAAAUGAUCCAAAUAAAAAUUUAACCUCGAUUAGAUCAAUUAUAAACCUAAAAAUAUAAUUUUAUAAUGAGUUAUGAUAUGUACAAUAUACUUACAUGUUUUUCAAUAACGUUUAUAGUGUUUUUAGUAUCUCAAUAAAAAUAUUAUAAAUGAGUCAAAUAAAAAAAUACUGUAACAAUUCAAAAAAAUAAAAAUAAAAAGCCGAAAUUUUUGACGAAAAUAGUUGGUGAAGAAUAUUUUGAAUAUUUUUUUGAAUCAAGGAUCCUAUUUGGGAAAAUCCAAAAAAAAAAAAGACGUUAUUUAGAAAAAAGAAAAAAAAAAUGAAGACCUCUUCAAAGAAAAAUCGCCAUUCACAGAAACAAAAUAAAGAACUUUUAUGUUUCGCUGACCUCACGGUGUCGGAUGCUCCGAAGUUGCGCCGAGUGACGAGAACCACAGACUGCAAAGCAUUCACGUAUUCCCCGUAAAGACCGUUCCUGAGUGGCCUCAGCUCCAACGAAGAUAUAAAAGGAGUUCCACCUCCGGUGUUAACCAAACAAACCGAUGUGGAAUUGGCAGUAGCAAGACUCAGAGCCUCGGCCGUAUAGAUAGCAGAUGGAUCGGAGAUGGUCAUCGUCUUCCAAUGAUCGACUCCGAUGUGAAGGUCAAAUUGUAUUAGGCUAUUCUUGGCGUCGUAGUUUCCGUACAUGAAAGUUGCUCUGACAAGAUACGUAGUGUUACGAAGCACAGGCUUUAAGGUGUAGCAAUUCCGGAGUCCAUCAGGAAAGCUUCUGAGAUUGAGUUGUUGCGUUGGAAGAGAGGAGUUUAUGUAGUUUGAUUGGAUGUCGAAAUCUGAUCCCACGUCGAUAAAUCGGUCAUCGGAGACGUAUGUUAUAUUUGUACUAUGAUCGACGUAAUCAGAUUUGGAAUUGCCACAGUCGAUGCUUAUAAAGCCAGCUAAAAAGAAAAGAAUCACAACGAUUAAUUGCAAUCAGUUCAGUAUUGUUUAAUACCACGAGCAUGAUAUUAUAUCUAUAUUUCUCCCUUUACUAUAAACUAAUUAUCUAAAAAAUGAAAGGCGAUCGCCGUGAGCGCUGACCUUGCGGCGACUGGCCAUGAGCAGCAGGAAUGGCGGCGGCGAUGGCAAAGAAAAGAGCAACCAAGCACGAAGAUGAUGAUGCCAUGUUCCAAGUUCCAAGUGUCGUUGCUGAGUUCUAUCGGUGAUUUAUAUUCGGUGGUGGAGGCGUUCGUUAACGUAAGCACAUCGCAAUCAAAAGAGAAAAAAACCUCGUUAGUUGUAGCUACGUGAGCACAUCGCAAUCCAAACAGUUCACGUUUUAUCGCAACGCGAGCACGUGGUUUGUCCACGUGUAUACAGUGACUGGGUCCCGCUUUGCACGGAUUCUUUGUAAGAGCCGCACUGGCUGAGAGCGUGCUCCUCAUUUCUUAUCCGACACCCAAUCCGGUCAACCCUAAAUCAUGUAAUCGCGUCAACGGUGGAAUGGUCAACUGGGAAGAUGACCUGCUUUGUCGACGCAAGACUUGUAGGAAAUUAAAUAGAAAGGAAAAUUACUUUUCUGAGAUAGCAAAUUUUUUAUUAUUUUCUUACGACCUCGUAUGAGAAUCACUUCACCUAAAUAUAUAAACCAAAAGUCAUAUAUAUCAACAUGUGAUUAUUAUUAUUGAUUGAAAAUAUAAGAUCAGCUAAUCAUCAUUUGUCAAGUCAAUAUCAUAUCUGAUCUCUUAUCCAUAAGGGCUGGGUCCAAAAGACAGCUCGAUUCAAUUUUGGAGCUGUCAAACUAUUAAGCUUUUGAGUUACGGAGAUGCUUCUUAGAAAGAUCAAAAAUUAGUUCAGAUCAAUUACGAAUCAGCUCCAUUAUGAAAUAUCCAUAGGAAUAUUUCAAAAAAAAAAAGGGACAAUAAAGAUCAGUUAUGAAUCAGCUCUCACAGAAGAAUUAAAACAUUAUAAAAAAGAUCAAGGGACAAUAAGGAACAAUUUUUCUAACAGUUUGUUGCAGACACAAAACUUCACCAUACACAAAUGUGGCACAGUAUCACAGAGACAGUGCAGAGACCAAACUUAUUACAUGAUGUAUUGAUGUUCUAAUCCAUUAAAACGGAGAUAUCUGCGGUCCGGUGGGUUUUCAGAUUACAGCAUAUUGUUUCAUUGUUACCUAAAAGAGAUACAGUAGUGCAUAGAUUACACAACACCAAAUUCUAUAUUUAUUCCGAUGCAGAGAUCCCCAGGAGGAACAUCCUAUUUUGUGGCAGUACGAGUGCCAACGACAGUUACAAGCACUACAUCUUACCUUAACGUGCACAACAUACACGAACAGAGACAACUGCGAUAAGUUUCAUCUGAUAGAAGGAACAGUUGGUCCCAGCAAGCUCGCCCCCAUCUCAGACGAAAUUUCUCGGCUCAUGUUAAAUCCUUCAAUAUAUAUGAUAUCGCUCCUGUCAGAGGCAAUCUCUGGCUUCAAGCAGCUCUUCAGCUGCGUCACUACUUCAAACAUUGUCGGCCUCUGGCUGCCUGGAUCUGCGGUGCACCUGAGAGCUAGAUCCAGGAUCUUCCACGCAGAAGUGGCAUCAUAUUCUCCUUGCAGAGUUUCAUCCAUGAUUUCUUCUAUGCAACCCCGAGACAGACUUGUGGCAAUCAACUUAACAAUGUGAACAUUUCCUGGACCGGGCACGAUCGGAGGUCUGCCGGUGAUCAGCUCCAGGAGAACUACACCAAAGCUGUACACAUCACUCUUCUCGGUGAGCUGGUAGUUUUGAUGGUACCUAAUGAAACAUAAACAUGAUACUCAUUGGUCAGUUGUAAUCCAUAAUGUAUUAGUUAUCCUCUAUGGUCGAGCACACUAAUGCAUAAUAAAUGUCUGCCUUUUGUCAACUAAAGGUUCAAAACACUCCAAGAAGAGAAUCAAAUUGCCAUCUUGGUUAACCAGAAAAAUGGAGAUCCAGUUCAAGGCCAAGGAGUAGUAAUUUGAAGUUAUGGCAAGGAAAUGAAUCCUACUAUGUUGCUUUGGCAAUUGAACUGACUAUUCCUCAAACCUGCAAACUGGAUCUGGGAAUUAAAACAUGGCAGCUCAGGAAGUCAUAGAUCAAGAAUUCUGCUAUCUGACAUUCAAAGAUCUCCACAUAUCCAUGUUGAUCAUAGUGUUUGAAAUAUUAAAUUUAAGAAAAAAAAAACCAUAUUUAGUUCAAAGUUCAAACCAAAUACUGAUGUCUCAUCCAAGUCCAAUAGGUCAGCUGCAUCAAGUCAAACUAGUAUCAUAAUAUAUCUAGAAUUAUGAAUGUAUAGCAAAAGAACAUAUUGAGGACAUAAAACCUAAGUAUGAAGAGAUCGUAAUACCCCCAACUAAUCUUACCUUUGAAAAAUGAUGAUGGGUUAGAUUAGCAUGGACCGAUUUUAUAGGGUAACUACUAAAAAUUUAGCAUGAAGUAUAUUCGGUUACAUAGUUAAAGUUUAAUUCUUUUUAGAUCACUAUACCAGUGGGCCUAUUAGAUUGGGUGGUGACAGGAAGACAUACUAAGAUAAAUGAAUUCAUUUUCCAUCUUAUUUUUCUGCACAUUGUCGCUUCUACAUUGAGAUGUAUGAAUAAAUUGUUUAUAAAUAAUUUAGAGUGGGGUAAAAAGAGUGUAGAAAACAUACUCGGGAUCAAUAUAUCCAGGGGUGCCAACCACUGUCCCUGUGGACACAUAGGUUUGCUCAUCGCUAUGGAAAGAUUUGGAUAACCCAAAGUCCCCUAUUUUAGCCUCUAGUUCUUCGCUCAAGAGAAUGUUGCUGCUCUUGACAUCUCUA